AUUUCAUUUCAAACAUUUACUUUAAUAAAAUUUUUAAAUCUGUUCUUAUCAGUUUAAUAUCUGAUAUGUCCUUUAUUUGAGGACUAUAUAUUAAAUUGAUUUUUGAAACGGGGCUGGAAUAGGAGCUUGCUCUGUCCACCCCAUGCAUUGAUCUGGUAUUGCAGCGCCUCCAGGACCAGUGCCUCUCCU
Small nuclear RNA from Gopherus evgoodei (Goodes thornscrub tortoise), 189 nucleotides. Its record names the gene U2. It matches the Rfam family "U2 spliceosomal RNA". Rfam says of the family: U2 is a small nuclear RNA (snRNA) component of the spliceosome (involved in pre-mRNA splicing). Lineage: Eukaryota; Metazoa; Chordata; Testudines; Testudinidae. The record is from Ensembl.